Long non-coding RNA from Oreochromis niloticus (Nile tilapia), 838 nucleotides. RefSeq lists it as uncharacterized. NCBI's taxonomy places the organism in Eukaryota, Metazoa, Chordata, Actinopteri, Cichliformes, Cichlidae. The transcript has 3 exons. The record is from RefSeq and is a predicted model, not a curated record.
GAAGAGCUGAAAACAUCAGCUGUGUCCAACAUUCAGUUCCUGAUUGUUUCAUGCAGAUGUCACAAAUGAAGGGAAGAUUUUUUUCUUGCUCAUUACAGACAAUCUAAGGAGCUUGAAAAGAGCAACUGGACUUAUAAAUUUUUCUUGCAGACAUUUCAUAUGAGAAGCUUCUUCAGUUCUAAAAUCAAAUUUUGGAGAGACUUAGGGUGGAGCCUGCUGGAGUCCGAUGGUUGAGACCAGGUCUGAGGAAAUAUUCCUGUCAACUCACAGUCGACACAAACACAGUACACACAAAACUCCAACUGUCUGAGAACAACAGGAUGGUGGCACAUGUGGAGGAGGUUCAGUCAUUUCCUGAUCAUCCAGACAGAUUUGAUUACUGGCCUCAGCUGCUGUGUGAAAAUGGUCUGACUGGUCGCUGUUACUGGGAGGUCGAGUGGAAAGGAGGGGUUUAUAUGUCAGUUAGUUACAGAAGAAUCAGAAGGAAAGGAGACAGUAAAGAUUGUUGGUUUGGAUACAAUGAUCAGUCCUGGAGCCUGAUCUGCUACGAUGAUGGUCCUCAUUCUGUCUGGCACAAUAACAGAGGAACAUCCAUCUCCUCCUCCUCCUCCUCUGUCUCUAACAGAGUAGCGGUGUAUGUGGACGUUCCUGCUGGCACUCUGUCCUUCUACAGAGUCUCCUCUGACACUCUGAUUCAUAUUCACACCUUCAGCACCACAUUCACUGAAACUCUUUAUCCUGGGUUUAGAUUCAGGUAUCUUGGUUCCUCAGUGUCCCUGUGCUGAGUUGAGUUUAACGAGUGUCCUCCUGUUAGAGAAACACUCUUGACUGUUGAACA